This 295-nucleotide ribosomal RNA is filed under the name Salmonella enterica subsp. enterica serovar Soerenga. RNAcentral's name for it is "partial 16S ribosomal RNA". It matches the Rfam family "Bacterial small subunit ribosomal RNA", at positions 1 to 292 of the family's 1533-position model. The record is from RNAcentral. Lineage: Bacteria; Pseudomonadati; Pseudomonadota; Gammaproteobacteria; Enterobacterales; Enterobacteriaceae.
AAAUUGAAGAGUUUGAUCAUGGCUCAGAUUGAACGCUGGCGGCAGGCCUAACACAUGCAAGUCGAACGGUAACAGGAAGCAGCUUGCUGCUUUGCUGACGAGUGGCGGACGGGUGAGUAAUGUCUGGGAAACUGCCUGAUGGAGGGGGAUAACUACUGGAAACGGUGGCUAAUACCGCAUAAUGUCGCAAGACCAAAGAGGGGGACCUUCGGGCCUCUUGCCAUCAGAUGUGCCCAGAUGGGAUUAGCUUGUUGGUGAGGUAACGGCUCACCAAGGCGACGAUCCCUAGCUGGUC